UACGGAGGGAGCUAGCGUUGUUCGGAAUUACUGGGCGUAAAGCGCGCGUAGGCGGCUUUGUAAGUUAGAGGUGAAAGCCCGGGGCUCAACUUCGGAAUUGCCUUUAAAACUGCAUCGCUAGAAUCGUGGAGAGGUGAGUGGAAUUCCGAGUGUAGAGGUGAAAUUCGUAGAUAUUCGGAAGAACACCAGUGGCGAAGGCGACUCACUGGACACGUAUUGACGCUGAGGUGCGAAAGCGUGGGGAGCAAACAGG
This 253-nucleotide ribosomal RNA is filed under the name uncultured bacterium. RNAcentral's name for it is "partial 16S ribosomal RNA". It matches the Rfam family "Bacterial small subunit ribosomal RNA", at positions 524 to 776 of the family's 1533-position model. The record is from RNAcentral.